AGAGCGAACGCUGGCGGCAGGCUUAACACAUGCAAGUCGAGCGCCCCGCAAGGGGAGCGGCAGACGGGAGAGUAACACGUGGGAACGUACCUUUCGGUUCGGAACAACCCAGGGAAACUUGGGGCUAAUACCGGAUACGCCCGCAAGGGGAAAGAUUUAUCGCCGGAAGAUCGGGCCCGCGUCUGAUUAGCUAGUUGGUGAGGUAACGGCUCACCAAGGCGACGAUCAGUAGCUGGUCUGAGAGGAUGAUCAGCCUCACUGGGACUGAGACACGGCCCAGACUCCUACGGGAGGCAGCAGUGGGGAAUAUUGGACAAUGGGCGCAAGCCUGAUCCAGCCAUGCCGCGUGGGUGAUGAAGGCCCUAGGGUUGUAAAGCCCUUUCGGCGGGGAAGAUAAUGACGGUACCCGCAGAAGAAGCCCCGGCUAACUUCGUGCCAGCAGCCGC
RNAcentral lists this ribosomal RNA (446 nucleotides) under uncultured bacterium. RNAcentral describes it as "SSU rRNA". It matches the Rfam family "Bacterial small subunit ribosomal RNA", at positions 26 to 518 of the family's 1533-position model. The record is from RNAcentral.